CUACCAGACUCCUACGGGAGGCAGCAGUGAGGAAUAUUGGUCAAUGGGCGGGAGCCUGAACCAGCCAAGCCGCGUGAAGGAAGAAGGCGCCAGGCGUCGUAAACUUCUUUUGUCGGGGAACAAAGGGCGCCACGCGUGGCGUUGUGAGUGUACCCGAAGAAAAAGCAUCGGCUAACUCCGUGCCAGCAGCCGCGGUAAUACGGAGGAUGCGAGCGUUAUCCGGAUUUAUUGGGUUUAAAGGGUGCGUAGGGGGUCCGGAAAGUCAGCGGUAAAAGCCCGGGGCUCAACCCCGUCCGGCCGUUGAAACUGGGGGCCUUGAGUGGGCGAGAAGAAGGCGGAAUGCGUGGUGUAGCGGUGAAAUGCAUAGAUAUCACGCAGAACCCCGAUUGCGAAGGCAGCGUACCGGCGCCCAACUGACGCUGAAGCACGAAAGCGUGGGUAUCGAACAGGAUUAGAUACCCUAGUAACA
This 469-nucleotide ribosomal RNA is filed under the name uncultured bacterium. Its description in RNAcentral is "bacterial SSU rRNA". It matches the Rfam family "Bacterial small subunit ribosomal RNA", at positions 328 to 795 of the family's 1533-position model. The record is from RNAcentral.